GAUGAAGAACGUAGUGAAAUGCGAUAAGUAAUGCGAAUUGCAGAAUUCCAGUGAGUCAUCGAAUCUUUGAACGCACAUUGCGCCCUUUGGUAUUCCGAAGGGCAUGCCUGUUCGAGCGUCAUUAUCACCCCUCAAGCCCUCGGCUUGGUGUUGGAAGGUUUGGUGGAGGCCCCCUCGGGGGCUCCUGCCCCUCCCAAAGACAAUGACGGCGGCCUCGUUGGACCCCCGGUACACUGAGUUCUUCACGGGACACGUAUCGGACACAUGGGUUUACGGGACACGGUCUGCCUCCCCUCAGGGAGAAUCUUUCUAAGGUUGACCUCGGAUCAGGUAGGGAUACCCGCUGAACUUAAGCAUAUCAAUAAGCGGAGGA
This 373-nucleotide unclassified non-coding RNA is filed under the name soil metagenome. Its description in RNAcentral is "partial contains 5.8S ribosomal RNA, internal transcribed spacer 2, and large subunit ribosomal RNA". The stretch from base 1 to 121 matches the Rfam family "5.8S ribosomal RNA", at positions 35 to 154 of the family's 154-position model. The record is from RNAcentral.